RNAcentral lists this long non-coding RNA (43425 nucleotides) under Gossypium barbadense (sea-island cotton). RNAcentral's name for it is "long non-coding RNA (GBAR_LNC012961)". The record is from RNAcentral. Lineage: Eukaryota; Viridiplantae; Streptophyta; Magnoliopsida; Malvales; Malvaceae.
AAACUCCAAUGCUAGAUACUCCUUGAGACGCCUUAUUUCAUCCACACCAUCUCCUGUAAGAAUGAUAUCAUUGACAUAAACUAUAAUAAAUGUUAUUCUACCUCUUUGUGAGUGUUGGUAGAACAUUGUGUAAUCAGCUUGCCCUUGUGAGUAACCUUGUUUUUUAACAACCUAAGUGAAUCGUUCGAACCAAGCUCAAGAAGAUUGCUUUGGACCAUACAAAGAUUUCUUGAGUUUACAUACUUGAGUUUCAAAUUUUUCUUCAAAACUUAAAGGAGAAUCCAUGUAAACUUCUUCUUCAAGUUUUCCAUUUAAGAAAAUUUUAUUCACAUCUAGCUGCUAAAAAGACUAAUCAAGAUUAACAAUAAUGGAUAAAAGAACUCUAACAGAAUUUUAACUUGGCUACUAGAGCAAAUGUCUCAAGAUAGUCUAUUUUGUAUGUUUGAGUGUACCCUUUAGCCAUCAGUCAGGCUUUGUAUCUAUUUAAAUAUCCAUCCGAUUUGAAUUUGGUUGUAAACACCCAUUUACAGCUCAUUAUUUUUUUCAUACAGGUAAUUCCACUGUUUCCCAUAUACAUGUUUUUUCAAGAGCACGCAUCUCCUCUAAAACAACCUCCUUCCAUUUAGGAACCUGUAAAUCAUCUUUCAUAUUUUUGGGUUUUUCCACAAUAUCGAGACACAAAAUAAAGACUGAGAAUGUCAAAGACAAGACUUUAUAGGAUAGAAAGUCAUACAUGAGAUAUUUGACAACAUUUCUAACACAUUUUCUUUUAGCAAUUGGAAUAUCUAGAUCAGAAAAUUCAUUGGUUGGACUAUGAGUUUUACCUGAACUUUUGAUAAGAUCUUGCAGGUCGGAUUCUUGGUGGUGAAUCUGCUGGAUUCCACUUUCUUGAUUUCGAUUUAUUCUUGAGUAAACCAGCAACUCCUUUGUUUAUUUUUUGUUCUCAUGAUUAGACUUUACACCUUCAUACUCUUUUUUAUUAACAACAUUAGCAUCAUUCAAGUCCUUUUCAUUAACAACAUUAACAUCAUUAAUUUCUAUGUUAAUCAUAAAUUCGCCUUCCCCAUUAUUAGAAUCCUUAUGUUGUAUAUUCCUAGUUUUUUUUUAUUAUCAAUUAUUGAAUCUUACUUGCUAUAAUUCCCUCCUUGAAGAUUAGAAUCAAAGUAAGAUUGUGUUUCAACAAAUGUGACAUCUAUGGUAACAAUAAUCUUCCUACUAAUCGGAUUAUAACAUUUGUAACCCCUUUUUAUUAGAACACAUUUGUUUUUUUUUUUUUUUUGCUUUUGGAUCUAGUUUAGCUUGGUUGUAAAGAUGAACAAAAACACUACACCCAAAAACUCAGCAAGGUAAAUCUGUGAUCAAUUUAGAGUUAGGAAAACUAUUUUUAAAAAGACUAAAGGGAGUUCUACAGUUUAGAGUUUUACUAGGCAUUCUAUAAAUAAGAUAUGAGGUCGUUAAUAAGGCUUCUCCCCAAAGAUAACAUGGGACCUUGCUAGUGAACAUCAAGGCUCUAGUUACUUCCAAAAGAUGACGGUUUUUUCUUUCCGCAAUCCUAUUCUGUUGUAGUGUAUCUGUACAAUAGCUUUAGUGGAUUAUUCCAUGUUUGGUUAAGAAAACGCCUAAUUGGUCACUAAAAAAUUCCUCACCAUUGUCACUCCUAAAUACUUCUAUUUUCACACUAAAUUGUGUUUUCACCAUAGCAUAAAAAGAUUGAAACACAUUUUUAACUUCAGACUUAUCUUUUAAUAAAAAACCCAACAAUUGCGAGUAUGAUCAUUAAUAAAUAUGACAAACCAACAUUUUUUUGAAAAAUUUGAGACUCUUGAAGGUCUCUAAACAUCACUAUGAAUAAACGAAAAAUGUUUGGAAGCUUUAUAUUUUUGAGGUGAAAAGAAUGACUAAUGAUGUUUAGCCAAUUCAAAAAAUUCACAAUGAUAUGAAGAAGGACUUUAAUUUUUAAAUAGAUUAGGUAACAAAUGUCUUAAAUAGUAAAAAUUAGAGUGUCUAAGCCUAUAAUGCCAAAUCAUAACCUUAUCAAAACUAGAAACAGAGUUUAAAUAUAGAGUUGUUGUUGGUCAACUUAGAUGGUUGUCAUCUAGAAAGUAAAUUCCACCUGAUUUUUUAGCAUUGCCAAUCAUCCUCCCCGAGACCAUGUCUUGAAGUUUACAUAUAGAGAAGUCAAAUAUAACACGAUAAUUCGAGGAUUGAGAUAAUUUACUGACUGACAUGAGAUUACAAGCUAAAUUUGGCACAUUUAAAACAUCAUGUAAAACCAACGAAGGUGAAAUUUUAAUAGUGCCUUUCUCGGCUAUUGCCGAGAACAACCCAUCUGCUACUUUGUUCUUUUUGUUUCCUGCACAAUGUGUGUAAGUUGAGAAAAGAAAAUGACUACUAGUCAUGUGAUCACUAGCUUUAGAAUCAACGAUCUACGUUUUUGUUUUACAAGGCUUGACACUGAAAAAAAGGAAAAAUUAGUACCUGAUUGGGCAAAGGAGGAAGAAGGACUGCUGGAUAAGUUAGGAACAAAAGAAUUCAUCCGAAACUGUGGUGGUUGAAGAAGCUUGUGUAGAUGCUCUAAUUGUUCCUUAGUGAAUGGAGACCCUUCUAGAGAACUUUGCUGCUCAUGAUUUUCAUUAGUUAUUUAGAAAGCUCUGCUAUCCUCAAAUUGUGAACCAUGACCAUUGCCACUCUUUUUUCUCCCAUUCGUCGAUUUUUCAUGGAGUUUCCAACAUGUUUCUCAAGUGUGCCAAUAUUUUUUGUAGUGGUCGCACCAAGGUUUUUUCCUUUUUUCACUGUCAUCAUUAUUUUUAACCGUCACAAGAGUAGAUUAUUACUGUAAUGGCCUAAAUCCAAGGUUAUCGGAACAAUGGUUUCGUAACCAUAGAUCCGAUUUAAAGAGAAAUUUAUUUCAAUAUUUUUGCUUGAAAAUUGAUAUGAUAGGAAAAUCGUAUGAAAAUAUUGAUAGGAAAAUUUUAUCGAUUUAGUGAUUAGUUAGAAAAAGAAUUUAUUGAAGAAAUUGGGUAAAAUAAGAUAUCGGGACCUCUAUCUUAUAAAACCGAGUCAAAAAUAAUUUUAUAAAUAUUUAUGAAAUGUUAUUAAUGUGGUAUUAAAAUUUCGUUAGGAAAUUUUAAUGUUUGGGCAGUCAAUUAAAUGAAAAGGACUAAAUUGUAAUAGGUGUAAAAGUUGCUAGAGUGGUUAAAUAGCUUAAGAGUCUAAUGAGAAAGGAUUUAAAAGGAAAUUAUACCCAAAAGUUAUUUGGGCUGGACGGUAAGGGUAUGAAAUCAGCAGAAAAAUUGAUAAAUUAAGGGUAAAAUUAGAAUAUUGCAAAAUUAACUAAAUAAAACUAGGACUAAAUAGGAAAUAUCUAGAUUUCUCUUCAUUUCUCUUCAAUUCCAGCAGCUAAAAACGCCAUAGGAGGGUUCUAUAAGCUGGUAUUUCAUAAUUUUUGUACCAAGUGAGUUAAUCCUUGCCUUUUUCUUGUAAUUUUUGUGUUUCUAAGACUUUUACAACUAGGUCCUACUAUUAAAUUCAUUAGUUUUUUAUUUCAUGGAUGAAAUUGAAAGUCACCAUGGUUGAGUGCUGUAAGUUUAUGAUGAAAUAGAAUGAAAUUAAAGCUUUAAUUUGUUUAUGAGAUAAUUUUAUUAGGUAAUUUCAAUAGAAAUUGAUUUUUAGGACCUAAUUGUGAAAAUACUUGGAAUUAAAGUCUAUUCCUGAAAUUAUGAUUCCUAAAGGUUGUAAACUAGUUUAAGGUGAUAGAAUAAAAUGUUAAUUGAGAAAAAUCAGCUCAAUUGAGAGGCUAAUUGAGUAGGGACGAAAUUAUCAUUUAUUAAAAGCUUAGGGGAAAAAUGGUAAUAAACAGCUUGCACUAAAACAGUUUGGACAGCAGCAGUAGACUAACUUUGAAAAAUCACCAAAAAUUGUAGGAAUCGAAUUAGAAGAUGAAAAAAAUAUGGAAUUAAAUCUUAUUGAGUCUAGUUUCUCAUAGAAGAAAUAGUGUAAGAAAUAGAUUUGUAAAUUUUGAGAUAUAAUGAAUUUUGUGGGACAAGGUCAGAAUAAAUUCGGGUUCCCCUGUUCUGAAUUUGAAAAAUCAUAAAAAAUUGAAUAAAAACAAUUAGGGGCUUAAAUUAAUAUGUAUAGAAUCCUUAAUGAGUCUAUUUUUAAUAGAAACAAACGAUAACAUCAUUUGAAUUCUUUAUGAAGAGAUAAUUAAUUUUUAGUGAAGAAGGGUCAGAACUGUCGACAGCAGAACAGGGGUGACUUUAAAGAAUAAACUGUACUUAUUGCCUAAACAAAAAAUUCUGAAAAUUUUAUGAUAAAAAUAUAUAUGAGUCUAGCUUCAGGGAAAAUUAACGGAUCUUAAUUUGGAGUUCCGUAGCUCAAGUUAUAAAUAAUUUAGUGACUAUGACUCAAGUAGACAGCUUUGAAUGAACUAUAAAUAAUAGUUGAAUUAUAGAGAAUGUUGCAUAUGAACAUGAAAUGUAUUAAAUUGAUAAUUAAAUUUAUUUAUUUAGAUCCGGAAGAUUCAAAUACGAAGCUAGAUUGAGGAAAGGAAAAAGUUCGGAAUUAGUAGAUUUUUAUUGUUUACAAACAAGUAUGAAGGUAAGUUCGUGUAACUUGAAUUAUAUUCUUAAAUGCUUGAGAUUGUAUGUUAUUGAUGUGAAUAUGAUUUGAGUGUUCAUUGUAUGAAAAUUAAUGAAACAUUGAUAUAUUUGAUAAAAUGGGAAGAAAUCCUGGUUGAAUGAAAGGAAAAUUCGAUGGAUCUCUGAAAAGGAAUUGACGAUAAAAAGGAUCAAGCCCGGACGGGUGAUCCUAUCCUGAUAUAGCCCUCCCGAAGAAUAUGUGUAAAAUGGAUUUAGCCCGGACGGGUAAUCCAAAUUAGGGUCUGAAUUUAGCCUGGACUGGUAAUUCAGAUCCAAGCUCAUUAGAGUAAUUGUCGUUGCAGGGGAUUUAGCCUGGACUGGUAAUCCCGCUGUAAGGUUGAGGUUCGCGGGAGUGUGCUCUCUGAAAUGGAAAUGUGCGCACAUGAAUAUGAAUUGAUAGACUCAGAAUUGUACACUAAAAGUGUACCUCUGAAAAUCCAUCGAAAAUUCCAAGAAAUUCAACGGGAUAAAUAUGGAAAAAUAACAAGGAAAUAGAAAUCAUGGUAUUGACGAGCUCAUUAAUCAUAGUAUAUAUUAUUAGUACAUGGAAAUUAUUGUACUAACUUGAAUGUUGAGUUUGUGCAUAUUAGGGUAAUAAUGCAUUUAAUGGAUAUAUGGAUGUUUAUUGUAUUGUAUUGAAAAUAUUAGGUAAGUAUAAUUCUUGUUACAUGAGCUUACUAAGCACAAAGUGCUUACCCCGUUUCCUUUUUCCCUGUUUUGUAGUGUUAAGAGCUCGGAGGUCGGAUUUGGUCGGAGACACAUCACGCUGUCAACCUCAGGAUUUCGGUAUAUAAAGAAACUUUAUUUUGGAAAUCAAUGGCAUGUAUAAGCUAACAAAGUAAAUGUUAACGUGAAAUGAAUGUAAAGUUAGCCAUUAGUAUGGUUAACAAACCUGGUUUUAGAUAUGUGAUGAUGUUAUCUUAUAAAUAUGCAUGAAUUAAUCUUGAAAAUAUGUUGAAUUGAUUUGGUUGAUGUGGAUUGCUCUCGAUUUAAGAUUGCAGGGAAGGUUAGAUAUUUAUAAAGGGGCUAUAUUGAAUAUAAAAAAAAUUUAAUUCGUAAACUCCGAUAAUGCCUCGUACCCUAUUCCGGCAAUGAGUACGGGUAGGGGUAUUACAGUUACCUUCAAAUCUUGGCCUUAAUAUUACUUUUCUCUUUAUUUCCUCUCUUCCAACCUCAUAAAAAAAUCUUAUGGGGUGUUGAAAGCUGUUUUUUUCCUAAGAUCCGAGAUCUCACUUAAUUAAAUUCUUUAUUUAAACCAGCCAAAAAUAAAUAAGCUUGCUUAUUAUUUUCUUUUUUAAUAGCAUUUACACUAUCUCUAGGACACUCCCAUUCAUCAUUAUAACAUUGAUUCAAUUCUUGCCAAAUAGACAUCAUCUCGUUAUAAUAAAAAGUAACUUACUUGGCCUUCUAGAGUUUUAUUUUUAACUCAAAGAUCUAUGAAACAUUUUCUAAAUUUGAAUAAGUGUCUUUCAUAGCAUCCCAAACAUCUUUAACAAUCUGGAGAAAAAGAAAGGUUUACCAAUGGAUCCUUUCAUGGAAUUAAUAAGGCGCACAAUUAUCAUAGAAUUUUCUAACCUCCAUAUACUCAUCUUUGGAUUGCCCUCAUUUGGUUGCUUGACUUCUCCAGUUAAAUGACCUAGCUUGCCGCGCCCGUCAAUUGCUAAUACCUCUAUUUGGUUGCUGGAUCUUUUAUCUCCAAUGAAGGGUGUUUUAACCAUGAUGUUAUUGGAGAUUUAACCUAGCUCAGAUGCCAUGAAAGUUUUCAAGAGAGUAUACAAUAAAACUGUUCUAAAUUUUAUUAAGUAAAGUGUAACACCCCUAACCCGUAUCUGUCACCAGAAUAGGGUUACGAGGUAUUACCGAUCAAUUCACAAUGCAAGACAUAUAUUUAUCAACCGUAAAUCAUUCAUUCUUAUAAAUCAUCCAACACAAUCACAUUGUCCUUUAUAAGGGCCUACAAGGCCUUGUACAUGCUUUAGAAGUGGUUCGGGACUAAACCGAUAUCAUACGAGACUUUUAGAAACUUAGAAAAAAGUUUCAAACAUAUAGGGGUCACACGCCUGUGUGAACAGGCCGUGUGCCUCACACGGCUCCAGAGACACCCAUGUCUCAAGCCAUGUGAAAACAGGGCAUACAUACUGACUUGGGUCACAUGGCCAACCACACGCCCAUGUAUGUAGCCCGUGUGCCCUUCGAAGUGACCACACACAACUGUGUGCCAGAACGUGCCAAAACUGUAGGGUAUAUUAACUUAUGCAACACGGUCAAGUCACACGCCCGUGUGUAAUACUGUGUGGAGCAUACUGACUUUAUUUUAAUAACAACACCAGGGGACACACGCCCGUUUAACAUGACCGUGUGUCACACACGGUUGAGACACAUGCCUGUGUGGACAAAAAUAUGCCAUUUGCAAAGCCAAAUUGCCACCCUUAUUCAUACACACCCAAACAAUCAAAAUGGUACCAUUUCAUCACACAAUUAGGCAACCAAAACAUCAACCAAUUGCACAAUUCAUACCAUAUCCAAUUCAAUCAAAUUCAAUACUCAAUUCAAUACCAAUUACCUAUUCAAAUACUUAUUAACUCAACUUUCAAAAUCAUACUUUAUCAAAGCAUUUCUCAAGCAUUAUACACCAUCAAUCAAUUAACCAUUUGCAACUAUAAAACCAUAACCAUAUUCAUACCAAACAUGCCAAAACAAGCCAUCACUCAAGGCUAUAUAUAUACAAUCAAAACAUAUACAUUUACAAGCCAUUUUUAAUAGCUAAACACACAUCAACAUUAACAUCAUUUACAAGCCAACUCUCAUGGCUAUAAACACAACCAAUAUACCACAAGUAGCCUAUACAUGCCAUAUACCAUAUUUAUACAACUCAAAAGUAUCAAUUAGAUGUCCGAUAGUGCGAUGAUGUUCUCGAAGACUUCCGGAUCUGAGCUAGCCUUAAUUCAUUAUAAAACAUAAAAAAAAACACGAAGUAAGCUUCAUAGCUUAGUAAGUUCGUAUGUAAAUAACUUAAUUCAUCAAAUCAAUAUAAAUCAACCAAUUUCACAUUAACUACAAACCUUUCUCAUGUCUUAAACAUGAUUAAAUCAAGGUAAACGUGUAACGACCCGAACUUCAAGGUUAUAGGAAAAAUAUAUUUUCGGGUCUCUAUUUCUGAAAAAUGGAUUAGAAAAUAUUUAUGAAAAAUAAUUACGAAGUUAAUUGAGUAAUUAACUAGGAUUUAAUUAAGUGAAUUUAGCUUAAUUAAGAGUAAUUAGGAAAAAUGAUUAAAUUGAAUAAAGGAUGAAAGUUGAAUUGUAGAUUAAAAGAAAAUAAAAAGGACCAAAUAGGAAAUUAUACCUAAUGUAUGAAUUUAGGCGGCAAAAGACGGAAGAAUCUAGGAUUUUCUUAGAUUAAGUAAUUAAUUUAUUAUUAUAGUCAUUAUUAUUUAAUUGAUAUUAAAUUAUUAUAUUAUGAAAUAAAUAAAAGAAAGACAAGUGUAUAGUGAUAAUUUGAUACAAGUGUAUGGAAAAAAUAAUAAUAAUAAAAUAAAAAUAAAUACAUGUGUAAUAAUUAUUGUAAAUACAUUUGUAACACAUGUGUGUAUUUACUUAUUAUUUAAGUAAAUAUUAAUGUUAUUAUUAUUGAAUUGAUAUUAUAUUAUUAAAUAAAUUAAAUAAAGACAAAUGUGUGGAUAUGAUUUGAUACAAAUGUAUUAAUAAAAAUACAUACAUUUGUAAUACAUGUAUUUGAUAUUAAAUAGAUAUUUAUUAUUUAGUAAAAGAUAUUUAUUAAUUAAAUAAUUAUAUUAUAUGAUAUGAUUUUUAUGUGAUGAAUAAAUAAAAGUGUGACAAAUGUAAGGAUAUAAAUGGAUACAAAUGUUAAAUAAAUAUUAGUUAUUUAAUAGAUUUUUAUAAUGUUAUUAUAUAUAUAUAUAUAUAUAUAUAUAUAUAUAUAUAUAUAUAACAAAACUAAAAAUAAAAGAAAGAAAAGAAACAGAAUAGGCAAACGUGAAGCAGGGGAAGGAAAGGAAGAAAGAAACGAAAGAAAGAAAAGGAAAAAUUCAAGGUUUGAAGCUUUAAAGUUUAAUAGGUAAGUCAAUUUAGCCAUUUUUACUUAGUUUUGAUGUUUUAAAAGCUUUAGAACAAAGUUUUGAUGAAAUUAAGUUAAUAUUUUGAAAGUUAUUAGAUUUCUAAAUAUUGUUCAUGUUGAAUAAAAUGAUGAAUUAGGGGUUAAAUUGAUAGAAAUUCAAGUUAGAAAUGAAAUAAGGAUUGAAUUGUAAAGUAAUUCAUAAGUUUUAUGUUGUAGGGACUAAAUUGAUGAAAUUUCGAAAUUAGGAAAAUAUGCUGGAAAUUUUAUAGUUAAGUAUGAGUUUGGACAAAAUUUGAAUAGAAAUGAAGAAUGAAUUGAGAUAGAAAAAGUAAGUGAAUUUAGUUAAGAUUAAAUUAAAAUUAAAGGAGAAAUUGAAUAGAAAUUGUAUUAAUUAGAUAUAAAUUAGUAGUGAAUUAACGAAUAUGAAUUGUUUUAAUUCCCAUAGCUAACGUUGUCUCGGGAAAUUUCGGCUAAGCAAGGAAAAAUGGCAAAGACAACGAGAGUUAGCUCGAGAAAAUACGGUUUGUAUUUCUAUAAUACGAACCUAGUUAUUAAUUGUUAUAUUUUUUAUUCAAUGCAAUUAAUAAAUGUUGAAGUGAGAAUUAUUGUGUUUAUAAUGGAAAUGGAUUAAUUUGGUAUGUGAUGAAUUUAUAUUGAUUGAAUUAAAUUGAAUUAUAUAUUAUAAAUAUAUGUAUAUGUGUGAAUGAGAUAUUGUGUAAUUAUGAUAAUUGAAUUUUGGAUAAAUGUUAUGAUAAAUAGUUAAGAUGGGAAUUAUUUGUGCUGUGUCUUUAUAAUUGAAAUGAAUUGAUUUAGUGUGUGAUAAAUUUAUAUUGAAUUGAUAUAUGAAUGUUUGAAUUGAAAUGAAUAUUGAUGUGGAAAUUGAAUAAUAAAUAUUUGUUAUAUUGGAAAAUAUAUGUAGUUGGAAGUGUGAUGAAAUUGAUAGAAAAUUGUGAUUAUUGUGAAAUUGAAUAUUUAUUAGUGAAAAGUGAAUGGAAUUAUAUUGAAUUGAAAAUAUAUAGUUAAUUAAUUAAAAUAUGAACUAAUUGAAAACUGGAAAGUGAAUUAAAUAUCCUAUUAACUAGUCGGGCUAGUCGGAUAUAGUUGGCAUGCCAUAGGAUAUGGAAGAGUACGGGUUUUGCCGACUUACUGAUCAGGCACUUAUGUGCCGACUACUGUUAUUGUUACCGUUACUAUUACCGAUUCGGCACUUUGUGUGUCGGAUGUUGUUACUGUUACCGUUACCGUUACUGUUACUAUUUCGAAUUUGUUCUGAUGAGGUACUCCGUGUACCGUACUGUUAUUGUUACUGUUGCUGUUACUGUUCCGGCUUCGGCCGAUGAGGCACUAUGUGCCGUAUUGGUGUGUUGGUUGGAUCCGUGUAUCUAUCUAGGUCCAAGUCAUGUUAAUAGAGUUAAAUAAAGGAACUGGAAAGAUCGACUGUUACUGAAUAAUUUAAUUGUUACUGUAUAUCUGAUUUUUACUGAAUAAUUGACUGUUACUGGAUAACUGAUCAAUUGAUUGAUACUGAAUAACUGAUUAUUUUUGAAUAAUUUAUUGUUAUCGAAUAACUGUCUUUUACUGAAUAAAUAAUUGUUCUGAUUGACUGAUUGUUAAUGAAUAUUACUGAUUGAUUAAUUGCUAUUGAAAAAUAAUAAAUGAUUUUGAAUUUAAAGGAAAGCAAAACAUUGGUUGCAAAGUGAAUGUUUGAAUACUCAUUGAGUUUGAAAAGUUCAAUGUAUAUAUAUUAAUAUGUUUUAUAAUUGUUUAAAUGUUCGGAUUAUAGAAAUACCACUGAGUAUAUGCUCAGCGUACGGUUUGUUUUCGAGCGCAGGUUAAGGCUAGACCAUUGAAUCAGCAUCCCAGGUCGAUCCUGAAUUCAAUGAGGUAAAGUAUGUUGAGUAUUGGUAAUAGCAUGUACCUAGGAUGUCUUAUGAGAGUCAUUUAGGUUGUGAAAGUAUUGAUAAAACAAGUAAAUUAUGGUUGGCAAUGGUAUAUAAUAUGAAUUUGAAAUCUGAAAGAAAAAUUCGUAGUAAUUCUCAUUUAGUCCCGAAUUGAUUUUAUUGUUCAUAUUGGACCGCGAGGGCCCAUUAAAGGGACGUCAUUUUAAAAUUAUGAUGAGUCCGAACGUUUAUAUUUAAUUAAUGUCUAUAUUGUACUGUACUGAUUAGUAAUGUCUCAUAACCUUGUUCCAGCGAUAGUAUGGGGUUAGGGGUCGUUACAAAAUGAAUGAUGGCCCAUAGCCAAAUCAAAGGUAACUUAUUCAAAGAACAAUUAUCAUGGCUCGAAGCCAAAUCAUUCGAUAUGCAUGGCCCGAAGCCAAAUCGGUAUAACUUGAAAUACCCCUACCCGUAUUCAUUGCCGGAAUAGGGUACGAGGCAUUACCGGAGUUUACGAAUUAAUUUUUUUUAUAUUCAAUAUAGCCCCUUAAUAAAUAUCUAACCUUCCCUGCAAUAUUAAAUCGAGACCAAUUCACAUCAACCAAAUCAAUUCAACAUAUUUUCAAGAUAAAUUCAUGCAUAUUUAUAAGAUAACGUCAUCACAUAUCUAAAACCAGGUUUGUUAACCAUACUAAUGGCUAACUUUACAUUCAUUUCACGUUAACAUUUACUUUGUUAGCUUAUACAUGCCUUGGAUUUCCAAAAUAAAGUUUCUUUAUAUACCGAAAUCCUGAGGUUGACAGUGUGAUGUGUCUCCGACGAAAUCCGACUUCCAAGCUCUUAACACUACAAAACAGGGAAAAAGGAAACGAGGUAAGCACUUCGUGCUUAGUAAGCUCAUGUAACAAGAAUUAUACUUACCUAAUAUUUUCAAUACAAUACAAUAAACAUCCAUAUAUCCAUUCAAUGCAUUAUUACCCUAAUAUGCACAAACUCAACAUUCAAGUUAGUACAAUAAUUUCCAUGUACCAAUAAUAUAUACCUUGAUUGAUGUACUCAUCAAUACCAUGGUUUUCAUUCCCUUAUUAUUUUCCAUAUUUAUCCCGUUGAAUUUAUCGGAAUUUUGAUAGAUUUUCAGAGGUACACUUUUAGUGUACAAUUCCGGGUCCGUCAAUUCAUAUUCAUGUGUGCACAUUUCCAUUUCAGAGAGCACACUCCCGCGAACCUCAACCUUGUAGCAGGAUUACCAGUCCAGGCUAAAUCCCCUGCAAUAUAAACUCAUAGAGUAUUGUCGGGAUUACCAGUCCAGGCUAAAUCCCCUGCAACGACAAUUACUCUAAUGAGCUUGGAUCUGAAUUACCAGUCCAGGCUAAAUUCAGACCCUAAUUCGGAUUACCCGUCUGGGCUAAAUCCAUUUUACACAUAUUCUUCGGGAGGGCUAUAUCAGGAUAGGAUCACCCGUCCGGGCUAGAUCCUUUUUACCGUCAAUUCCUUUUCAGAGAUCCAUCGAAUUUUCCUUUCAUUCAACCGGGAUUUCUUCCCAUCUUAUCAAAUAUAUCAAUAUUUCAUUAAUUUUCAUACAAUGAACACUCAAAUCAUAUUCACAUCAAUAACAUACAAUCUCAAGCAUUUAAGAAUAUAAUUCAAGUUACACGAACUUACCUUCAUACUUGUUUGUAAACAAUAAAAAUCUACUAAUCCCGAACUUUUUCCUUUCCUCGAUCUAGCUUCGUAUUUGAAUCUUUCGGAUCUAAAUAAAUAAAUUUAAUUAUCAAUUUAAUACAUUUCAUGUGCAUAUGCAACAUUCUCUAUAAUUCAACUAUUAUUUAUAGUUCAUUCAAAGCGAGUCAUAGUCACUAAAUUAUUUAUAACUUUAGAUACGGAGCUCCAAAUUAAGAUCCGUUAAUUUUCCCUGAAACUAGACUCACAUAUCUUUUUACCAUAAAACUUUAAGAAUUUUUGGUUUAUCCAAUAAGUACAGUUUAUUCUUUAAAGUCACCCCUGUUCUGCUGUCGACAGUUCUGACCCUUCUUCACUAAAAAUUAAUUAUCUCUUCAUAAAGAAUUCAAAUAAUGUUCUUGUUUGUUUCUAUUAAAAAUAGACUCAUUAAGGAUUCUAUACAUAUAAAUUUAAGCCCAUAAUUGUUUUUAUUCAAUUUUUUAUGAUUUUUUAAAGUCAGAACAGGGGAACCCGAAUUCAUUCUGACCUUGUCUCACAAAAUUCAUUAUAUCUCAAAAUUUACAAAUCCAUUGCUUACACUAUUUCUUCUAUGAGAAACUAGACUCAAUAAGCUUUAAUUCCAUAUUUUUUUCAUCUUCUAAUUCGAUUUUUAAAAUUUAUGGUGAUUUUUCAAAAUUAGUCUACUGCUGCUGUCCAAACUGUUUUUGUACAAGCUAUUUAUUACCAUUUUUCCCCUAAGCUUUUAAUAAAUGAUAAUUUCGUCCCUACUCAAUUAGCCUCUCAAUUGAGCUGAUUUUUCUCAAUCAACAUUUUAUUCUAUCACCUUAAACUAGUUUACAACCUUUAGGAAUCAUAAUUUCAGCAAUAGACUUUAAUUCCAAGCAUUUUCACAAUUAGGUCCUAAAAAUCAAUUUCUAUUGAAAUUACCUAAUAAAAUCAUCUCAUAAACAAAUUAAAGCUUUAAUUUCAUUCUAUUUCAUCAUAAAAUUACAACACUCAACCAUGGUGACUUUCAAUUUCAUCCAUGAAAUCAAAAAAUAAUGAAUUUAAUAGUAGGACCUAGUUGUAAAAGUCUUAGAAACACAAAAUUACAAGAAAAAGGCAAGGAUUAACUCACUUGGUGCAAAAAUUAUGAAAUACCAGCUUAGAGAACCCUCCUAUGGCGUUUUUAGCUGCUGGAAUUGAAGAUAAAUGAAGAGAAAUCUAGAUAUUUCCUAUUUAGUCCUAGUUUUAUUUAGUUAAUUUUGCAAUAUUCCAAUUUUACCCUUAAUUUAUCAAUUUUUCUGCUGAUUUCAUACCCUUGCCGUCCAGCCUAAAUAAAUUUUGGGUCUAAUUGCCUUUUAAAUCCUUUCUCAUUAGACUUUUAAGCUAUUUAAUAAUUCUAGCAACUUUUACACCUAUUACAAUUUAGUCCUUUUCAUUUAAUUGACUAUCCAAACAUUAAAAUUUCCUAACGAAAUUUUAAUAUCACAUUAAUAACAUUUCAUAAAUAUUUAUAAAAUUAUUUUUGACUCGGUUUUACGAGAUAGAGGUCUCGAUACCUUAUUUUUACCCAAUUUCUUCAAUAAUUUCUUUUUCUAUCUAAUCACUAAAUCGGUAAAAUUUUUCUAUCAAUAUUUUCAUACGAUUUUCCUAUCAUAUCAAUUUUCAUGCAAAAAUAUUGAAAUAAAUUUCUCUUUAAAUCGAAUUUGUGGUUACGAAACCACUGUUCCAAUAAUUUUGAAUUUAGGUCAUUACAACUCUCCCCCCUUUAAGGAUUUUCGUCCUCGAAAAUCUUACCAGUAAAGAGAUUUGGGUAUUGUUUCCUCAUUGCCUCCUCCGGUUCCCAUGUCGCUUCCUCAAUCCCGUGCUUUUGCCACAAUACUUUCACCAAAUUUAUCUUUUUAUUUCUAAGCUCUUUUGUCUCUCGUGUCAAUAUCUUGACCGGUUCUUCACUGUAAGUCAUAUCCGGUUGAAUCACCACUUCUGUCGGAGAAAUAACAUGUGAAGGAUCUGAUCGAUAUCGUCGUAACAUAGAUACAUGAAAAACAUUAUGGAUUCUAUCAAGUUCUGAUGAUAAUGCCAAUCGAUAAGUGAUCGGUCCAAUUCUUUCUAUGAUUUCAUAUGGCCCGAUAAAUCUUGGACUCAGUUUACCCUUUCGACCAAAUCGGAGGACUUUCUUCCAAGGAGACACUUUCAGGAAUACCUUGUCACCGACUUGAAAUUCAAUCUCUUUUCGUUUAAGGUCGGCAUAUGAUUUUUGACGAUCGGAAGCUGCUUUUAGACUAUCUCGAAUAACCUUUACUUUUUCUUUUGUUUCCCGAAUCAAAUCAAUCCAUGUAUCUUCCUUUCACUAAGCUCUGUCCAAUAUAACGGUGUUCUACAUUUUCUACCAUACAAAGCUUCAUAAGGAGCCAUUUUAAUACUGGACUAAUAACUGUUAUUGUAAGCAAAUUCAAUCAAAGGUAGAUACCUCUCCCAAUUACCUUCAAACUCUAGUAUACAACAUCAGAGCAUAUCUUCCAAUACUUGAAUUACACGCUCAGAUUGACCAUCUGUCUGAAGAUGAAAUGCAGUGCUGAAAUACAACUGAGUACCCAAGGCUUCUUACAAUUUGUCCCAGAAACGAGACGUAAAUCGGGGAUCUCUAUCUGAUAUAAUGGAGACAGGCACUCCAUGUUGUAACACCCCUCGCUCGCAUCUGACGCCGGAACGGGGUUCGAGGUGCUACUUGACUUUUACUAACAUUCUAUACUCAACAGGGCCAUGAAAUCUCAAACAAUUAAAAACUUUUAUUUUCACAUACAAUCUGUCCCAUAUACGGGCUUACGAGACCCAAAACAUACAUCCGGAGUGGUUUGGGACCCAACCGAGAACUCAUAAAAAACUUAGAAAAUCUCUUACAUCAAGGCUUCAUACGCCCGUGUGGGUAUAGAGCACACGCCCGUAUGCUAGGGACACGCCCUUGUCCCAAACCCAUGUCCAAAAACCUGGACAAAUACAAGGCUAUUUUGCAAGCCAUUUUGUCACCCUCACAACACAUGCAUACAUACUUAUACAAUAGCAUACAACAUGGCAAAAUUAGGCACUUAAACAUUCCUAACAUGACAUGACCAUGGUAAUUUCACAUGCAAUAGAUAUCAUAGAUUUUUCUCACAUCUUUACCACAUUCAUGCUAUAAUCAUUAUAAACUCAUCACAUAAUACCAUAGCACAUGUAUGUAUAAUUAAAAUGAAUUUACAAUCCCAUAAUCAAAAUAAGCCAACACAUAUGGUCAAAGCCAUAUCACAUACUCUAAUAUUUAAACUCCUAUACAUGCCAUAGACUCAAAGUACUUGAAAUCACUACACCAAUAGCGUUAGCUUGACAGUGUGAUAAUAUCUCCGACGAACUCCAACCCGAGCUAACCUGGAAACUCUAGAAAACAUGGGAAAGAAGGGAGGGUAAGCUUUCGCUUAGUAAGUUCAUAUGAAAACAAUAAGCAACUCAUUAACUUGUUUUAUCAAUGUUUACAACAUAUUUUCAAGUUCACUACAAGCUGUCUUUCUGAGCAAUGGUCACUAAAUUAUUUAUAUCUGGAGCUACGAAACUCCGAAUUAAGUUCCAUUAAUUUUCUCUGAAACUAGACUUAUUUUCCUUUCUUCCAUAAAAUUUCCAGAAUUUUUGGUUAAGCCAAAUAGUACAAUUUAUUCCUCAAAGUUACCCCUGAUUCACUGUCUGACAGUUCCGACCCUUCUGUACUAAAGUUCAAUAAUCUCAUAGUACAAGACUCGAACAAUGUUCUCGUCUAUUUCUCUUGAAACUAGACUCAUAUGUCUACUUACUAAUUUUUUUCUAGAAUUUUUUUGGUUGGGCCAAUUAGUACAGUUUAUUAGUUAAAGUCUCCCCUAUUUCAGGGUAUGACCACUCUGACCCCUGUGCACUCCAAACCGAAUUUCUCCCUGUAAAAAAUUCCAACAACCAUGCCGUUUAUUUCCCCUAAAAAUAGACUCAAUAAGGAAUCCAUGCAUAUAAGGUAUGACUCUUAAAUUUUUUUUUACAAUUUUUGGUAAAUUUCUAAAGUCAGAAUAGGGGAUCUCGAAUUUAUUUAGACCCUGUUUCACAAGAAUUCAAAUAUCACACAAUAUGGAAUUCUUUUUCUUCCCCUGUUUCUUUCAUGUGAAAAUAGACUCAUUAAGCUUUAAUCCCAUAUUUUAUUCUGCCUCUAACUCAUUUUCCACUAUUUUUAUUGUAUUUUCAAAGUUACACUACUGCAGUAACUCAAAUCUGUCAAGGCUAAAUUACUCAUUCAUGAUCAUUGUUCACAAAAUUAAUACAACAUCGUUUGUAUAAUCAUCACCGAGACAUUCAUAUCACAUUUUCAUUUACCAUCUUACCAUGUUGUUGUUAUGUCGAGUUUUCAACCCGAGGGUUAAGUACAUACCUGUUCAAAGUAUCCAUUUCACAAGAUUUAUCAAUACGUCCCUUUCAUCUCGAGUAUUCCUCCAUUUGAGUAGAAUUUUACCCGUUGAACACACCGGAAUAUAAUUCGAAUACAUGGAAAGUUUGCACAUAAGUGCCACAUAUGUAGCCAAGCUACCAUGUAACCCGCCCAUAAGUGAACUCGGACUCAACUCAACGAGCUCGGGCGUUCACAUCCAUAAGUGAACUCGGACUCAACUCAACGAGCUCGGAUGCCUAGUUACAUCUCACGAACUCGGACUCAACUCAACGAGUUCGGAUGCUCAACCAUCCUAGUGACAUGUCACUUGUAUCCUAAUCUAUUCCUAAGGUUCAAACGAGAUUUUCCUCGAACACAUAUCCUUGCCAUCUUCCGUAAAAUACCGAAACCAAUACUCGGUAGCACUUUAUAUUUAAUAUAUAAUACACAUAACUUGCAUUUUAUUCGAAAAUAACCACAAAGCAUAUAUUUCAUGAUAAAAAUCAGCAUAUCAUAUAUUUAACAUCAAUAACUUAAAAAUAACAAUUAUGCUACAUUAUUUACACAUGAACUUACCUCGAUACCACAAAGGUGAAAAAAAAGACGUAAUUAUCUCUUAAUCGAUUUCUUUCCGUUCUAGGUCCAAAUCUCGAUUUUCAUCAUCUAAAAUAUCACAUUCAACUUAUUAAAACAAUGUACUGAUAAAUUAGUCCAUUGACACACUUGGGCAAUUUUUACAAUUUUGCCCCUAUAUUUUGCCAAAAUUACCAAAUUGCCCCUAGGCUCGUAAAAUAAAUUUUAUCACAUUUCUUUACUCCUUGAGUCUAGAUGAACCAUUUUCAUAACUAUAGCAACUCAUAAUUUCAACUAUUUCACACAUUUACAACUCAUUUUACAACUUAGCAAUCUAGCCCUUUUUAAGGUGUUUUCAUGCAAUUUCUUUCACAAAAGUUGUUUAUUAGACAACUAGGACUUAUAAUCUUCCAUAAAAACACAGAAAAAAACACAUUUACUCUCAUGGCAAAACCCUAGACUCUUCAUAAUUUUGCAAAAUAGUCCCCUCUUAUGAAAGCUCAUGCUUUAGGGGUUCCAAAAAUGUAAAAAUCAUCAAGCAAACACAUUAAAAUCACUUACAAGCAAGGGAAAUAUGUUGCUGAAAUUUUCCAGCUUCAAAACCCUUUCUUUGCUGCAUAUUUCGGUGAAGGAGAAGAGAAAAAUGAUAGCUUUUUUCUUUUUGAUUUGUUAAUAAUAAAACUAGUCAAAAUUGGUGACCAAAUUUCACCUAAUUUUGACUUUUCAACAAUUUUGUCUCCCAUGACCGGCCAUCACACUUUCAAUGGCCUAAUUUCACUUUAAAUACCCCCAAUUUAAUAUACAAGGCAAUUUAAAACCUUUAGGUAUUAAAACACAACUUUUACCUUUUACGCGAUUUAGUCCUUUUUCGAAAUUGGACUAGAAAUUGCUAAAAUUAACUUACCAAAGUUUACAUGCACUUAUAAAAUUAUAUUAUAACACAUAAAAUAAUACUAAAAUAAUUUUCUCUGGCCUCGAAAUAGUGGUCCCGAAACCACUAUUCCGACUAGGCCCAAAAUCGGGCUGUUACACAAUGUAGCCUGACAAUCUCAGAUAUGUACAGUUCAGCUAGUUUAUCUAAAGAAUAAUCCAUACGUACCGGAAUAAAGUGAGCUGACUUUGUCAAUCGGCCUACAAUCACCCAAAUAGCAUCUUUUUUCCUCGGAGACAAAGGUAAACCCGAUACAAAAUUCAUAGUGAUUCUUUCCCAUUUCCAUUCCGGUAUAAUAAUUGGCUGAAGUAACCCCGAAGGUACCUGAUGUUCAGCUUUAACUUGCUGACAUAUUAAACACCUUGAUACAAACUCAGAGAUAUCACGUUUUAUUCCCGACCACCAGUACAUCUUUUUCAGAUCAUUAUACAUUUUAUUACUCCCCGGAUGUACAGACAUAGUACUGCUGUGAGCCUCGCGUAGAAUUUUCUGUAUGAGCUCUGAAUUCUGAGGUACACAUACCCUACCUCUGAAUAAUAAACAACCAUCAGAACCAAUCUGAAAUUCAGAAUCAUUACCUGACUCACAUUGUGCCCGUUUAACUUGUAACUUCUCAUCAUUCUUCUGAGCUUCACAUAUUUGCUAUAAAAAUAUCGGUUUAGCUCUUAAUUCUGCUAGAAUUGAACCAUCAUCAGUCAAUGAUAACCGGGUAUUCAUAGCUCGUAAAGCAAACAGAGAUUUCCGGCUCAAAGCAUCAGCUACAACAUUAGCCUUACCUAGAUGGUAAUCAAUAAUCAAAUCAUAGUCCUUUAUCAAUUCAAGCCACCUGUGCUGUCUCAAAUUCAAAUUUUUCCGUGUCAUCAAAUAUUUCAAGCUUUUAUGAUCAGUAUAAAUAUGACAUUUCUCACCGUACAAGUAAUGCCGCCAUAUCUUCAGCGCAAAUACAAUAGCAGCUAAUUCAAGAUCAUGUACUGGGUAAUUUCUUUCAUGUGGUUUAAGUUGUCUUGAAGCAUAGGCUAUUACUUUACCUUCUUGCAUCAAAACACAACCUAAACCAUUUAAUGAGGCAUCACUGUAAAUAACAAAUUCCUUACCCGGUUCAGGCUGCACUAAUACAGGUGCUUUUGUUAAUAGGUCUUUCAAUCGGUUGAAACUUUGUUGACAUUCAUCAGUCCAAACUUUGUUGACAUUCAUCAGUCCACUCGAACUUUACAUCUUUCUGCAAUAAUCUAGUCAUUGGAGAAGCUAUCAUAGAGAAUCCCUGUACAAAUCUCCGAUAAUAACCAGCUAAACCCAAGAAACUUCUAACUUCAGAUACAUUCUUCGGUGGACUCCAAUUGACAAUAGCUGAGAUUUUACUUGGAUCUACCCUGAUGCCUUUGGCAGAUACAAUAUUUCCUAGAAAACCCACUUCUCGAAGCCAAAAUUCACAUUUACUGAAUUUAGCAUAUAACUGCUUCUCUCGCAGAAUUUGCAACACAAUUCUCAAAUAUUCUGCAUGUUCUUCUUCAUCCCGAGAAUAAACCAAAACAUCAUCAAUGAAUACUACUACAAAUCUGUCUAAGUACGGUCUGAAUAUCCGGUUCAUCAAAUCUAUGAAUACUGCAGGUGCAUUAGUUAGCCCUAACGGCAUAACUAGAAACUCAUAAUGCCCGUACCUAGUUCUAAAGGCUGUUUUUGGCACAUCUGACUCCUUUACCCGUAACUGAUAAUAACCCGAUCGAAGAUCAAUAUUUGAAAACACAGUAGCACCUUUCAGCUGAUCAAAUAAAUCAUCAAUUCAGGGUAACGGGUACUUAUUCUUUAUGGUUACUUUAUUAAGCUGCCGGUAGUCGAUAAACAAUCUCAAAGACCCAUCUUUCUUUUUCACAAACAGAACCGGAGUACCCCUGGGUGAAUGACUCGGUCGGACAAAACCCCUGUCAACAAGUUCUUGCAACUGUGUCUUUAACUCCUUUAUUCUGUAGGAGCCAUACAAUAUGGAGCUAUGGAGAUCGGAGUAGUUCUCGGAAUCAAAUCUAUAGAAAAUUCCACUUCUCUUUCUGGUGGCAAUCCUGGUAAUUCCUCUGGAAACACAUCGAAAAAUUCACAUACCACUAGAACUGCCUGUAUCUUUGACUCAGAUACCUUGGUGUCGAGUACAUAAGCCAAGUAAGCAUCAUACCUUUUUUUGACAUACCUUUGUGCUGCCAUUACUGAAAUCACAUCAGAUAACCCCUCUGUCUGAUCAGAUUUAACCCGGAGUAACUCACCAUUCUGACAUUUUAGCACAAUAUAUUUUUGUCUACAAUUUACUACCGCAUCAUGCUGGGUUAACCAAUCCAUGCCCAAUAUCACGUCAAAUUCAUCAAAUGACAGUAACAUCAAAUCAGCCGGGAAACAAUAACCUCUUACCAUCAGUGGACAAUUUUUACAAAUUUUAUCCACCAACACAGACUGGCCUAGGGGGUUUGAGACUUUAACCACAAAUUCAGUAGGUUCAACAGGUAAAUUUUUAACAAUUGCAAGUUUAACACAUAUAUAUGAAUGCGUAGAACCAGGAUCAAUUAAUGCAGUAAUAUCAGUAUCAAGUAAAAAAAAUGUACCAGUAAUAAUAUCAGGUGCUGAGGCAUCUUCUCUGGCACGAAUGGCAUAUGUCCUAGCAGGUGCUCGUGCUUCAGACCUGCCUGCAAUAUCUUUCGUAGCUCCUCGGCUACCACUGACAUUACCAGAUGGUCGAGGUGGUCUACCUCUCGAAACUGGAUUACUCAGCUUUGAUAUCUGUUCAGCUUCUUUUUCACCUCUUUCUGGACAAUCUUUGAGGAAAUGGUCAAAAGAACCACAUUGGUAACAAGCCCCGCUCUUUAAUCGACAUUCACCAAAAUGAGCUUUAUUACAGUACUGGCAUCUUGGCUUAGGAGUGCCAACACUACCAACACUGGUCACUGAUGGAGUAGAAGGUCUUGGAUUAGUGCGUUGAGAACCUCGCUCUCUGCCCGAAUACCCAAUGGCUGAAGUAGAACGAUCCAGAUACUUCUUCAAUUUCUUUGAAGCAGAAAACUGGGAUUUUCCCAUCGGUCUUUUACUAAAAAUUCGAGCUUCCCUUUCAGCGUGUUUCUUUUCUUUGCUCAAUUCUUCUGCUUUAUAAGCUUUCUCUGCCAAUGUAGCAAACUCUCAAAUUUCAAGAAUUCCGAUCAGUAGUUUAAUGUCUUCAUUUAACCCUUCUUCGAAUCGUUUGCACAUUUCAGCUUCUGACUGUACCCAUUCUCGAGCAUAUUUACUCAAUCGAACAAAUUCUCUUUCAUAUUCAGAUACUGAUCUGUUACCCUAUUUCAACUCAAGAAAUUCUUUUCUUUUCUGAUCGAGAAACCUCUGGCUGAUAUAUUUUUUUCUAAACUCGGUCUGAAAGAAUUCCCAUGUAAUUUCUUCUUUCGGAACAACUGAAGCUUUAGUAUUCCACCAAUGGUAAGCUGUGUCUUUUAGCAGUGAGACGACACAUUUCAGACAUUCUUCUGGUGUACAAGAUAAUUCUUCCAGAACCCGAGUAGUGUUUUCUAACCAGAAUUCAGCCCGUUCAGAAUCAUCAUCAACUGCUGAUUGAAAUUCUUCGGCCCCAUAUUUUCAAAUUUUAUCUACUGGAGCUUUUCCUUUUUUGACAGAUUCAGUACCUGCACCUUGUGGGAUCUCGGGAACUGGUGAAGGAGCAGGAGGGGGAGCUUGAACUUGCUGCACUACAGGGUUAGUUCUUAAAUAUUGAUUAAACCAUUCAUUCAUCAUUUGAAAGAAGGCUGUUUUUUCCUCCUCCCCUCGACCCUCUGUCUCGGGCCUUCUACUGCUAGUUUCUUCUCUUUGUACUGAAGCCGGAGCAUGACUCCCAGCUUCCUCAGAUUGAGCUCGGUCGGAUGACAUUACUAUAAGAAAAACACAUUUUAAAUGGUCAGGAGAUAUCACACUAUCAAUAAUAAUUGAAAUGGCAUGUAUAACUAAUCUCGUAUUUGUUACAUCGGUCCUAGAACUGGCUAAACCGUAGCUCUGAUACCAAUAAAUGUAAUACCUCUACCCGUAUUCAUUGCCGGAAUAGGGUAUGAGGCAUUACCGGAGUUUACGAAUUAAUUUUUUUUUAUAUUCAAUAUAGCCCCUUUAUAAAUAUCUAACCUUCCCUGCAAUAUUAAAUCGAGACCAAUCCACAUCAACCAAAUCAAUUCAACAUAUUUUCAAGAUAAAUUCAUGCAUAUUUAUAAGAUAACGUCAUCACAUAUCUAAAACCAGGUUUGUUAACCAUACUAAUGGCUAACUUUACAUUCAUUUCACGUUAACAUUUACUUUGUUAGCUUAUACAUGCCAUUGAUUUCCAAAAUAAAGUUUCUUUAUAUACCGAAAUCCUGAGGUUGACAGUGUGAUGUGUCUCUGACCAAAUCCGACCUCCAAGCUCUUAACACUACAAAACAGGGAAAAAGGAAACGGGGUAAGCACUUCGUGCUUAGUAAGCUCAUGUAACAAGAAUUAUACUUACCUAAUAUUUUCAAUACAAUACAAUAAACAUCCAUAUAUCCAUUAAAUGCAUUAUUACCCUAAUAUGCACAAACUCAACAUUCAAGUUAGUACAAUAAUUUCCAUGUACCAAUAAUAUAUACCUUGAUUGAUGUACUCAUCAAUACCAUGAUUUUCAUUCCCUUAUUAUUUUCCAUAUUUAUCCCGUUGAAUUUAUCGGAAUUUCGAUGGAUUUUCAGAGGUACACUUUUAGUGUACAAUUCCAGGUCCGUCAAUUCAUAUUCAUGUGCACACAUUUCCAUUUCAGAGAGCACACUCUCGCAAACCUCAACCUUGCAGCGGGAUUACCAGUCCAGGCUAAAUCCCCUGCAAUAUAAACUCAUAGAGUAUUGUCGGGAUUACCAGUCCAGGCUAAGUCCCCUGCAACGAUAAUUACUCUAAUGAGCUUGGAUCUGAAUUACCAGUCCAGGCUAAAUUCAGACCCUAAUUCGGAUUACCCGUCCGGGCUAAAUUCAUUUUACACAUAUUCUUCGGGAGGGCUAUAUCAAGAUAGGAUCACCCGUCCGGGCUAGAUCCUUUUUACCGUCAAUUCCUUUUCAGAGAUCUAUCGAAUUUUCCUUUCAUUCAACCGGAAUUUCUUCCCAUUUUAUCAAAUAUAUCAAUGUUUCAUUAAUUUUCAUACAAUGAACACUCAAAUCAUAUUCACAUCAAUAACAUACAAUCUCAAGCAUUUAAGAAUAUAAUUCAAGUUACACGAACUUACCUUGAUACUUGUUUGUAAACAAUAAAAAUCUACUAAUCCCGAACUUUUUCCUUUCCUCGAUCUAGCUUUGUAUUUGAAUCUUCCGGAUCUAAAUAAAUAAAUUUAAUUAUCAAUUUAAUACAUUUCAUAUUCAUAUGCAACAUUCUCUAUAAUUCAACUAUUAUUUAUAGUUCAUUCAAAGCUGUCUACUUGAGUUAUAGUCACUAAAUUAUUUAUAACUUGAGCUAAAGAACUCCAAAUUAAGAUCCGUUAAUUUUCCCUGAAACUAGACUGAUAUAUAUUUUUACCAUAAAAUUUUUAGAAUUUUUGGUUUAUCCAAUAAGUACAGUUUAUUCUUUAAAGUCACCCCUAUUCUGCUGUCGACAGUUCUGACCCUUCUUCACGAAAAAUUAAUUAUCUCUUCAUAAAGAAUUCAAAUAAUGUUCUCGUUUAUUUCUCUUAAAAAUAGACUCAUUAAAGAUUCUAGACAUAUAAAUUUAAGCCCAUAAUUGUUUUUAUUCAAUUUUUUAUGAUUUUUCAAAAUCAGAACAGGGGAACCCGAAUUCAUUCUGACCUUGUCUCACAAAAUUCAUUAUAUCUCAAAAUUUACAAAUCCAUUGCUUACACUAUUUCUUCUAUGAGAAACUAGACUCAAUAGUCUUUAAUUCAAUAUUUUUUUCAUCUUCUAAUUCGAUUUCUACAAUUUAUGGUGAUUUUUCAAAGUUAGUCUACUACUGCUGUCUAAACUGUUUUUGUGGAAGCUAUUUAUUACCAUUUUUCCCCUAAGCUUUUAAUAAAUGAUAAUUUCGUCCCUACUCAAUUAGCCUCUCAAUUGAGCUGAUUUUUCUCAAUCAACAUUUUAUUCUAUCACCUUAAACUAGUUUAAAACCUUUAGGAAUCAGAAUUUCAGCAAUAGACUUUAAUUCCAAGCAUUUUCACAAUUAGGUCCUAAAAAUCAAUUUCUAUUGAAAUUACCUAAUAAAAUCAUCUCAUAAACAAAUUAAAGCUUUAAUUUCAUUCUAUUUCAUAAUAAACUUACAGCACUCAACCAUGGUGACUUUCAAUUUCAUCCAUGAAAUCAAAAACUAAUGAAUUUAAUAGUAGGACCUAGUUGUAAAAGUCUUAGAAACACAAAAAUUACAAGAAAAAGGAAAGGAUUAACUCACUUGGUGCAAAAAUUAUGAAAUACCAGCUUAUAGAACCCUCCUAUGGCGUUUUUAGCUGCUGGAAUUGAAGAGAAAUGAAGAGAAAUCUAGAUAUUUCCUAUUUAGUCCUAGUUUUAUUUAGUUAAUUUUGCAAUAUUCCAAUUUUACCCUUAAUUUAUCAAUUUUUCUGCUGAUUUCAUACUCUUGCCGUCCAGCCCAAAUAAAUUUUGGGUCUAAUUGCCUUUUAAAUCCUUUCUCAUUAGACUUUUAAGCUAUUUAAUCAUUCUAGUAACUUUUACACCUAUUACAAUUUAGUCCUUUUCAUUUAAUUGACUACCCAAACAUUAAAAUUUCCUAACGAAAUUUUAAUACCACAUUAAUAACAUUUCAUAAAUAUUUAUAAAAUUAUUUUUGACUCGGUUUUACGAGAUAGAGGUCUCGAUACCUUGUUUUUACCCAAUUUCUUCAAUAAUUUCUUUUUUUAUCUAAUCACUAAAUCGGUAAAACUUUUCUAUCAAUAUUUUCAUACGAUUUUCCUAUCAUAUCAAUUUUCAUGCAAAAAUAUUGAAAUAAAUUUCUCUUUAAAUCGGAUUUGUGGUUACGAAACCACUGUUCCGAUAAUUUUGAAUUUAGGCCAUUAUAUAACUCGCACCCGAAGUGCUAAUAUCAUGGCUCAAAGCCAACUCAACUUAUCAUCUAAUAGCAAGGCACUAGUAUCCAAAUCUAUUCCUAAAGUUCAACCGAGAUUUCACACCUUCCGUUUCUAUCAUCGAAUGCAUUCGUAGAGUCGUUUCCACAAUUCGAACAUUAUCCAUAAUCUCAUAAUCACAUUUUAUGCAAUACCAAAGCGUUUAACAUGCUUUUAUAAUGAAAUUACUGCAUAUGAACUUACUUCGAGUAUGAAAACGGUGAAAUAAGUCAAUUACUCGAUAAUCUGGCCUUUCCCUCAAUUUAAUUCCGGAUUACUCUUUUCUUGAUCUAAAUGCAAGAAUUCUUCCUAGCCGAAUGAAGAACCCUAGUUCCUCUUGUUCUUCUUUUAAUUUCGGUUCAACAAGAUGAUAAUGAAUGAAAUUUGUGUUUUAUUUUACUUAUUUUAACAUUAUUUACAAAUUACCAUAAUUAACCUUAAAAAUAUUCCAUAAUUACACCAAAUGCCAUGCCACUAUCAUCCACUAUCAUACUAAUGGUCAAUUUACCACUUAAAGACCUUAAAUUUAAGGUUCUAUAGCUAUUAAAUACCUUUAGCUAAUAGAACAAAACUUUUACAUUUUAUGCGAUCUAGUCCUUUUUCUCAAAUUGAGCAAUUAAACGAUAAAAUUAGCUUACGAAAUUUUCACACAUACAAGCUAUUAUCUGUAAUCACUAAAAAUAAUAUUAAAAAAAAUUUCGACAUCGGAUUUGUGGUUCCGAAACUAUUGUUCCGGUUUAGCUAAAACCGGACUGUUACAUAAAGAACUGAAUUUAAAUAGAAAAAUAGCCAUAACCUAAUUGGGAAAUAAUUCCCUUAUUAUAGUAAACUCCUAAAAAAUAAAAUAAAAUGUUCCUAAAAAAUCUCAAUUCAUUAUUUUAAGAUUUAUCUACUUAAAUAAUUUAAAAACUAAAUUCAACAUGUACGACAUGUGUAAGCUCAAUUGUUUAUAGUUUCUUUUUUCUUUAAUUUCCAUAUUUGAAUAUUUGGAAGGUUGUUAAAGAACCGUAUUUUUAUACCAUAUUUGAAUAUAUGUCGAUAUCGAAACAUGAAUACUUCUAGAAAAAUAAAAGAAAAUUUAAUAUAAUUUUUUCUAAUAUAAUAGAAAAAAUGUGGCAUAAAAAAAAAAAAAAAAGAAGUUAAACAAGAAGGUGAUAAGUAGAUGCAGGGUUGCUUGGAGGGUUGAAAGACAUGGGCGAAAUGGGAUUGGUAGGGUUAAAAGAUGUAGAAUUCUGUGUUGUGGGGGCAUUGAGGAAACUAGCGAAACGAGAAACAAAUGGAUCAGUAAAGGAUGAAACAAUAGGAAGCGAUUAUGAACUUUUUUUUUGCAGGUUUUGAUAAUAACCAAAAGAUGGUCGAAGUCCAAGGAUAAGAAGAAUAAUAACUCAGAGAAGAAGCCUAUAAGGUGUCCAUUGAUGAGGAUGUUAACACUGCAAAGGUGAAUAAGCUGAGCAACUUCUCAUGACAUUUUCUGUUUGGCAGAAGGCAAACUUUUGCAUCCAUGGUAAGAAAAUAUAAAGGGAGAAUAUCAGAAGUUACGUUAUUUUGAUUCUUUAAUUUUUUCGAAGUAUUAAUGUUUGACAUAUUUAGAUAUGAGUAUGAUUAUAUGAAGAUAUAAUCCUCUAAAUUUAUGAAAAAUCUUAGGAAAGAAAAAAACCCUCUGUAAGAUACCCAUAUUGGAUACUCACUUGGAGUCUGAAUUUGGGUAAGGUAGGAUAUGUUCGGACUUAGGUGUGGUUUCCGAUUAUGGGUACGUUCAAUUUCAUCUAAGUUAUCUUAUGAAUUUGAAAGGCAUUUGGAGAUUCAUAUCAAUAUACUCAUGUGUCAAAUGCGGAUAUUCAAGUAAAACAAAAAAGAAAAUGUUUUCCACAUCAGUAGGCAAGCGCAUACGCUGUUGACUAGAACCAUGGAAACACAUUACGUUAUUUUAAGAAUGUAGGUAGAAAUACUAUUCCUUUUAACCUAAUGAACAAAAACAAUUAAAUAACAAAAUAUAAUAUAUUCUUACGUUUUGCUAAGCUUAUCUUGAGACUUUAACCAUAUUAAUAAAACAAGAAUAUAAUUUAAAGUUGCUUUUUCAAGGAAAAGUGUGAUGGGGUAGGUGUAAUUCACUGAUUAAUGAGUUAUCAGUGAAGCCGCCACUUUACAUGUUCUUAUAUGUUAUCUUUUUUAUUUUUGUCUUCUUGUUUGUUGUUGGAAUAUCCAAAGGUAUCCCCAACAACUAUUGAUUUGUUCUUUGAUUCUUUUACAUUCUUCGGUGUUUUCUAUUUCCAUUUUCUCAUUACAUGUUUGAUUGAUUCUUCUGUUUCCACAGCUUGGGGGAACAAGUAUUUCUUGCCUAUUCCUCUGUUAUCUGAGCGGGUUUAUGCCCUUUAUAAACAGUUCAGAAGCUUGCGUUUUGCAAUAAGAAAACCUUGUUUUCCUUUGUUAAAUUGCGGAAAUUUUGAGAAUCCUCCAUGGAAGACAAAUAUGCAAUCAAGAAAGAUGUUACUGAAGUAAUGUUUUUUUUCUCAAUCAUUUAAGUGUUGUUGAUAUUGCCAUUAGUCUUCUGCAACUUGUUUUAAUCUCAUCGUGGCUUAUGCAGUUAAUAGGUAACACGCCUAUGGUAUAUCUGAACAAUAUCGUCGAUGGUUGCGGAGCUCGAAUUGCUGCCAAGCUUGAGCUGAUGGAACCUUGCUCCAGUGUUAAAGACAGGCAUAAACUUCAUAAUUUACAUUUGAUUUUUACAUUCUUCACAGCAUCUUGCAAACUGUUACCUGCAGAAUAAUGCCUUUGUUCACUGUUUAUCGAUCCCCAGGAUUGCAUACAGUAUGAUUAAAGAUGCGGAAGAUAAGGGCUUGAUUACAUCCGGGAAGGUAUGGUACCGUAUUCGAAGAUGCUUUGCUCAGUUUAGCUUCCCGGUUAAUGCAUAUGAAGUGAUUGUUUGAUAACCUAACCAGGAUGAAAUAUAGACCCACGAACAGUUAAAACUUCAGAUUGUUUUGGAAGACUAUCGUAAUAUCUUCUGCAGUUUUGCUUCAAUUGACUUUUGAUCAAAUUAGGGCUAUUUUCCACAUGGAAUGGUCCAGACACGGAACAUUUAAGCUAACAAAUUUCCCGUUUCUUCUGCAUAUAUUGAAAUAAUAUCGGCUAUAGAGUGUUCUCAUCGACACUACCAGUGGUAAUACCGGCAUUGCAAUGGCUUUCAUUGGGGCAGCCAGGGGUUAUAAAGUUAUUGUCACAAUGCCAGCUUAUAUGAGCAUCGAGAGGAGAAUCGUUCUUCGAGCUUUUGGAGCUGAGGUACGACUCACAGACCCAGCCAAGGGCUUUAAAGGGUCAUUAGACAAGGCUUUGGAGAUACUAAAGAACACACGUAAUGGUUACAUGCUUCGGCAAUUUGAAAACCCUUCCAAUCCAAAGGUAGUAUCUUUAUUGUUAUAACAUUUCCAGUGUUUCAUCAGGUGAUGUUUAAAAGAAGUUAUGAAUUAUUUGUUUAAGAUUCAUUACGAAACCACUGGUCCAGAGAUAUGGAAAGACUCAGAAGGGAAAGUUGAUGUAUUAGUUGCUGGCAUAGGGACUGGUGGGACAGUAACAGGUGCAGGGAGAUUCCUCAAAGAGAAAAACUCAAAGAUCAAGGUUUGUUCCCCAUUUGAGACCCAAAUUCAGACAAGGAGCCAAUGUCCUUGUUGUUAUGCUAAUAAGAACGUAUUCUUCUUUUGUCGACAUAUAGGUAUAUGGCGUGGAACCCGUUGAAAGUGCAGUCUUAAAUGGUGGAAAACCCGGUAAAGUGUCAAGUCACUUUCACCCUUUGUUAUGUGAUUCGUGCGAUAUCCAGUACUUAAUUAUUUCCUUCGUUACAUUACCUGUGCUUUGCAUGUCAAAGGCUCUCAUCUGAUCCAAGGAAUUGGUGCUGGUAUCAUCCCUGAUGUUUUGGAUGUUGGCCUCCUUGAUGAAGUUGUCCAGGUAAGUCUCAAUAGCAUUGCAUUCAAAUUCGUUUGUCGAAGCUUCUGAAUGUUCUUUUUUCCCUCAGAAACAGUUCUAGGAAACAUUGCCAUUGGUUUUAUUUCUGAAAAAUCAACAAAUUUCGAUAAUGGCAUUCUUUUUCCUUAUAUGAACUGAUUUCAUUCGCCAUAUCGAGCAUCAAUCAUCUGAUCCAUUGAUUAUCCUUUAUGAUGCCGUUGUAGUUUCCUACAUACUGUUCAAUGAAACUCUGCAAUGGCUUUGAUUUUUGAAAAAUUAAAGAACUUCCAUUUCGGUCACAAUGAUAGAAUUCUUUUUCCUCCUAAGAACCCAUUUUAUUCACCAUGGCAAGCAUCAAUCACCUGACCCAUUGUUAAUCCUAUAUGAUGCAUGGUAGUUUCCUAUUCCACAUAUUUAUACUUCUCUUGCUGUUGUAACUUCUUAGAUAUCCAGUGAAGAAGCCAUUGAAACUGCUAAACUGUUAGCCUUGAAAGAAGGCUUGCUGGUAUGUUCAUAAUCAUUACUCGAUUGUUACAACCGUCUCGACCACUUCUUCUUUUUCUUCGUCUGUUUCCUCAAAUGAAUUGAGCUUGACAGGUUGGUAUAUCAUCUGGUGCUGCAGCAGCAGCUGCAAUUAAGUUGGCAAAGAGGCCAGAAAACUCAGGCAAACUCAUAGUUGUGAGUUGCAUUCCCUUCUUCAAGUUGGUACAUAUAGCAACAAUGCCUAUACCAAUCGAGCUAAGACUCAAUCAGCUUUCCGAACUCAAAUUUUAAAAUUUAUUACAUUACUGAAAAUUUUUUCCAACUUUUCUUUUUCAUACAAUUGAAUAUUUAACUUAUUUUGAUCGUGCUCAUUAUUUUUCUUAAAAUGCUUGUAUAUUUUGACCCUAAAUAGUUAUGCAUCAACGACACUUGAGCUUCCUUGUUUUUAUUUUACAGGUAAUUUUUCCCAGCGCUGGUGAGCGUUACCUGUCUUCUGCAUUGUUUGAAUCCUUAAGGCAUGAAGCGGAAAACAUGGCCAUAGAUUGAUGCCAUUAUUAUCCUAAGAAUAUGGAUUUUAAAUUAUUAUAAUUAUUAAAAGUUCCUUUUAACUUAUAUCUCAAUUUUUUUUGUUGUAGUUUAAGUUUUUCAGUAUAAUUUUUAUUUUCUAAUCACAAAAUAAAAAUAACAUGAAAUCACACAGUUUCAUAUAAUUCUUUUUUUCAGAAUACACAGAAUAAAAUAUUGAUAAAAGCCAUGUAAAAAAGAAAAUUUAUGUUGCUGGAUCAAAUUGCACCCAAAUUUAAAAAAUAUUUUACAAUUAAAUAAAAAUAAAAAUAAUUUUUAUUUGGAUAAUUGAAAAUCUUCUUAUUUAGAUAAGAGUGGUCGGAUUGUACAGCCAAUCCAAUCUGAUUUAAGCUAGAUUUUCAACAAAAUGUUUUUAACUUUUAUCGACAUCUAUAUGGUCCAAAUACAAAUACAAAUAAAAAUAAAAAUAAAAAUAAAAAAUUAAUUUUUAAUUUUUAAUUUAAAAUUAUAAAACCCACGUUUUCUUAUUAAAAUAUACUUUUUUAAAGAUUUUAUCAUUUAUUAAAAAAAAUAUUACGAAAAAUAUUUCCGGACCAUAGUUUGGCCCAAACCAUUAACACCCGGCUAUUGGAUAGGUUUAGUAGUUUAUCGUAAUUGUUUUGAUGUUUCUAGUACGACGCCGUUUGGACCGGCUUUCCUACAACAUCGAUAAGCCAGCCACCUUGCCACUCUUCUUCUCCCCCACUCUCUUCUUUUGACUUUCAAGUUCAGUUUUUUCGCAGAAGAGUUUUUUUUCUUUUGAAAUUUAUUAAUUUUAUUCAUUUAAUGAUCCUUCCUUCACCUAAAUCUCUGUUUCUUCAUUUCAUAUCUCUUCCAACAUCGAAGGAAAAAAAAUAAUUAAAAAAAAGCAAACUUCGAGAGGCACUAGAAAUUUUCUAGGGUUUAAUUAAGCUCUCUCUCUCUCUCUCUCUCUCUCUCUCUCUUUUUAACACUGAUUAUUGUCAAACCGACGUCGAUUUCAUCUUCGAAGACCGUCUCGGUAAGUUCAAAGAUUUAGUCUCCUCACUUCUUUUCUCCUUUUUUUAAUAAAAAAUUCUAUCAUUGAAUUCGGGCUUUCUCGGCGAUCAUUUCAAGUUUUCUUAUCUCUGCAUUUAUUUAGUUGACUUUUUUUGUUAGAUUUUUCUUUUGUGGAAAUUUUGUUUAUUUGUAUUAAUUCAUUGAUUCUUUUUUAUAUUAAUUUAUCUAGUUCGAUCAUUUUGGUAAAAAAAAAUUUGCUUGAUUUUUCAAUGUGUUAUCGUAUUUUUAGAAAUCGUGUUUGAUUAAGAUAAGAAUUCAAAUUCUAGUCGCAGUAGUUACGGUUUUGAGUAGAAAUUUGGUUUUGAUGAGAGUUUAGUUGUUUGUUGGUUGAAUCAGUUUCUGUAUAAUUUUUUUUAGAAAGUUUUUAUUUGUAAAAAAAAAAUAUUAAUAAUCUGAUAUAUGUAGAUAAUUUUGGUCUACUUAGUUUAUUUUAUUUCUUUCAUUGACAUUUUAUUGCAGAAUAUAGGUUAUUCUGACCUACUAUAUCUAGUUGAUAUCCAAUUAUUUACUGGACAAUGACUUAUAGGUGCUAAAGUUUUUAAUUUUCAUUUGAAUGAUUAUCUAGGGCUCACUGCAAUGCAUCGAGUUGGCAGUGCUGGGAACAAUUCCAAUUCUAGCCGCCCGCGUAAAGAAAAGAGGCUGACAUAUGUAUUAAAUGACUCUGAUGACACAAAGGUAAAGUGGUUUGUGUGUGUGUCUUUUUGCUUAUAAUUAUUUUCCUUUAACAAUUCCUCUUCCUUGUUAUCGGCAAUCUCAAGGAAUUUGCAUAUUCAUAUUCAUUUUUUGUUAGUAUUCUAAGUAUUUAUGUUUUUCAUUUUAAUGCCACAUUUAUAUUAUUGGUUUUUCUGCUAUUUUAGGUUUAUACGUCUUUCCUUUUAUGCAUUUGUUACUAAAAUAUAAUUUCAAGAGUCUUGUGUUUGCUUUUCAUCAAAUCUGAGUAGGAAAUUUUGAUAUUUAUAUUUUUUAUGAUUAAGUUGGUGGAUUUGAAAUUUAUUUGGGGUUGGAACUUGUAAACUUCCUUCUCCAAGAUACAGCUUUGCCAGUCUCAUUAUUGGCUGCCUUUUAUCCUUAGGAUUGACCACAAUUCACAAGAACAUUUUUGUAUCUUAGUGGAAGAGGGAAGGUUAGGAUGGACCUGGUGUGAGAUAUAAUAUUGUUUGAGUAACCCUGGAUGUUGUAGGAGUUAAGGAUUGUCAGCAAAGGCAUUUUAGUGUGUUGUAGAUUCUUAUCCAAGAAAUUUAUCAUUUGAUGAUGCCAUGUGCCUGUGUAAAUUGCUAGAAACAUGAAAGUGUAUGCUAAUCAAUAAUGUAAAGGGACUGGAAAGGCUACCAUGAGACAACACAAAUAAUCUUAUUUAUAUAUGUUAUACUAAAUUAGAAUGGAAAUGAUUGUUUGUAAUUCUCAGUAACUAAUUCUUUAUAGUAUCCAUGCAUUCAUCAUUAUUCAUUAAUGUAGGACCAUUUUCACUAUAAACUUGAAUAAUUUUGCUUAUGCUUUACUUUAUAUUGUUAAUUAUGUCAUUAUCUUGAAUUAUAAACUAGUCAAUCAUUUUAUCACUUUAUUUUGGGUAUGGGAACUAGGCUCUGAUGUUUCUCUACUUAUGUUUUUUCUUCUUCUUUUUUUUUUUUUUGCAGCAUUCUGCUGGUAUAAAUUGUUUGGCUGUGCUAAAGUCAUCUGUCUCUGAUGGGUGCAACUAUCUCUUCACUGGAAGCCGUGAUGGCACGCUUAAGAGAUGGGCACUGGCUGAAGAUGCUGCCACUUGCUCUGCUACAUUUGAGUCACAUGUUGAUUGGGUACCUUCUUUUUUGCUUCUUGUUUUUGCUAUGAGCAGGACCAUCAUACUUUAGAUGGUAUCUUUUUAUUGCUAAUUUUUUGUUCGGAGCAUGUGAUAAUUUAAUUAAUUAAAUUUUUGGUUUCUUGAUGUAUUAUCAGUAUGAAUGAUUGCUUAUUAGCCAACCUGCUCACCCGAAGUAAUAUCUAGAGCAAGUAUUCACUGUGCACUUCAAUUACAUCAGUAGUUAGUUUGAAUGUUGAUGGCUCCUUUUUCUUUUUUCAGUUUGUGAAUACACCAUCCAGUUAUCUUAUAAAAUUUAUCUAUGUAACUAUGUAAAUUAUGAUUGAGAAUUUCCUUGUGCAGGUAAAUGAUACUGUAAUUGCUGGUGAAAAUACACUUGUUUCAUGCUCGUCAGACACCACAUUGAAGGUUUGUCAUUAAUUCGUGUAUUAGAUUUAGCUUUUCUCUUUUUAACUUAUUUUGUCAAAUAUUUUUUUUGGCCACUACUUUUGUUAAAUAUUGACAUGUGCUCUUUCUUUUUGAUACGCCAGAUAUGGAAUUGCUUGUCUGAUGGGACUUGUACCAGGACUCUUCGUCAACACUCUGACUAUGUUACAUGUCUAGCUGCUGCUGAAAGAAAUGUAAUUCUUAUAUAAAAUUUUCUUUGGAUUUUAUUAGGUGCAUGAGUGAAAUGUUCUUGUCGGUGCAAUAUUGCUAUUUAGGUUUCAUGUUUGAUUUGGCUGCUUAAGUUGUGCAUCAAGGCAUGUUUUUUAAUAUUAUAGAAGUCAUUUUCUGAUUCUUUUUUAGUGCCAUACAUUUUAGGCAAAUGUGGUUGCCUCUGGGGGUCUUGGUGGGGAGGUUUUUGUAUGGGAUAUUGAAGCUGCGGUUACUCCACUCUCUAAGUCCAGUGAUGUAAUGGAAGAUGAUUUUUCCAAUGGUAUCAAUGGUUCUGCAAAUUCAUUACCCGUAUCCAGUCUGCGACCAAUUAGCUCGAAUAACAGUAUUACUGCUCACACAACUCAGUGUCCUGGAUAUGUCCCCAUCGCUGCCAAAGGCCAUAAAGAGUCAGUCUAUGCAUUGGCAAUGAAUGAUAAUGGAUCCCUUCUUGUCUCUGGUGGAACUGAGAAGGUAAGUGUUGCUUCUUCUGAAUUCAAUUUUUAUGUAAAUAACAUGUUUCUCUCCACUUAUGACAUUUUGCCAGUUGCCAGGGAUGGUCUGUUGAUAAUUUGUUUUACCUAACAAUUUCAGUAGCAAUUUAAUUUCCUGCCACAAUUUCUUAUAGGUUGUGCGUGUUUGGGACCCAAGAACAGGUUCAAAGACUAUGAAGUUAAGAGGGCAUACAGAUAACGUUAGGGCUCUGCUUCUGGAUUCUACUGGCAGGUUGCUACACUGAAUCUAGAUCUGUAGAGUUAAAAAUAGUUUUAGUUUGAUUUAGUUGGAAGCCUUACAAAUAUGGUGCUUAAUUUUAUUGUUUCUUAUCGCGGUCCUAUGAUGCAAAAUAUUUUGAGAACAAUGAGCGUGGUUGUAGGGUGGAGACUAAAUCAUUUUAUGGCUUCAUGUGUGCAUGUUCACAUUUUUUUUUAACUGCUACAUUGUUUUCUAGUAAAAUUGGGUGAAUACUUUUUCUUUGAAAAUAUCAGGGAGUUUUUCGUUAUUUGAUGGGUUCUUCCCUUGAUUGACUUCUAGUGAGUUCUUUUAUUUGCUUGUGUGUUCUUCUGCACCGUAUUUAUUUUACUAGUGAAAAGUUUGACAGACAUCUCAUAUUCUCUCAGGUAUUGUUUAUCAGGGUCCUCUGAUUCUAUGAUCAGGUAUAUAAUCUGUGCAAGUUUUCACUGUUGUAUAACAUGCCAUUUUCAGCCAUAAAGAAUCUAAGUCCUUUCCUUUUAAAUGGUCAUAAUUUUAUUUUGUAGGCUAUGGGACCUUGGUCAGCAGCGUUGUGUGCAUUCAUAUGCUGUGCAUACAGAUUCUGUUUGGGCACUUGCGAGCACCCCAACAUUUACUCAUGUUUAUAGUGGUGGUAGAGAUCUUUCUGUAAGUACAUAUUCAUGUCAAACAGUUUUAGCAGAAUCUUUGUCAAUUUUGCCAAUGUUUUGAUGUAGAAGUUGAGAGGAAACCUAUGCUGAUAUAGCACAAUUGGCUUAUAGUAUUUUAGGAUUGAUUGAGAUUAAAGGAUCAGAAAUUAUGAUAAUAAUUAGGGGUUCUAAUUAUUGGUAUCAAUUGAGAUUGGAUGGAACUAAUAAAGGAUUAGAAAGCAAUUCUGGCUUGUGCUGGUAAAUGGUAAUUUUUGCAGUACUCUUAAUAAGUAAAUUAUGGGUCAAGGAUUUAAUUUCAUGAUGAAUUUGUGUGAGUGGGAUCGGGAUUUAUUGGAAGUAUUCCUGGUUGGUUUGAGAUUGAAAUCAAUGCAAGUAAUUAGAGAUAAGGAAGAAAAGUGAUCUAGGUUCACACCUAAGCACUAGGGCAAGGGUUGGUACAACAGUUGCUGAAGUUCUCAUCAGUUGUUGUCUGGUAAUAUAAAAUAGAUCGUGCUCAUUUGUAGAGUUCUGUAAUAAUUUUCCUAGAAAGACUGUGAUCAGUAGGAAACUCCAAAAUUGACUUAAACGACUCCUAAGCGAUGGAUAAAAACCUAAUAAAAUAAUACAAACUCAAGUAAAUAUGGUUCCUAGCAUCAAAUUCUUUAACUUUCAGUUGAUUUUGAAACUAUCAGCAUAUCUGUAACUUUCUAGGAAACCCAAAACAGAAUAUAACUUUGCAAGUUAAACUCAAAGAAAUGUAACGUUAAGACUUAAUAUCUAUUCAGCUUAAGUUUCUGAAUCAUUCUGACAGCAAAUGAAGACAAUACUUCUAGGUUUCUUCCGCAUAUGAUCUUGACAGUUCUUGACAACCUUGUAUGAAACUUCUAAUAAUUAGCUUUAACUCUCAAUUUGCACUUCUAAUAUUUAGCUUUAACUCUCAACUGGCUCUUACUUUUUAUACAUACACCAGUUGUAUUUGACAGACUUGACAACAAGAGAGAGUCUUUUGCUUUGCACAAAGGAACACCCAGUUUUGCAGUUGGCGUUGCAUGAUGAUAGUAUCUGGGUUGCAACGACAGAUUCUUCAGUUCAUAGAUGGCCUGCUGAAGGAAGAAAUCCUCAGAAGGUCUUUCAAAGAGGUGGUUCAUUCUUGGCUGGAAACUUGUCUUUUUCAAGGGCAAGAGUUUCCUUAGAAGGGUCUACCCCUGUAAGUAUAGUUUGUGUGCGACUGUAUUAUAUUUGCUAUUGCUUACAGCAAUCAUCUUGUUUGUCAUGAAAAUUUUUGUCUCAUAAAUAUCUCUUUUCACCUUUUUCUUAAUUUUUAUCAAGUAUUAUUAAAUAUACAAACUCUGCAUUGUAGUAACAUUUAUUUUCUUUAUAUUCUUGAAUUCUAGGGAAUGUUGCGCUGCUCGUUAGUUGUUAACUGGUUCUGUUUCAUUUGUUCUUUGCUCACUCAACCCCAAGGAGAAAAGAACAAAUAUUAGAAUUUGUUUUUAUUACUCAUGAUGUGAUUUGUUAUGGAUAACUCUUUGAGGUUUGACUGUAUCUGGAAUUUGUUUUAGCAUCUUCUUCCAUCACUUGCCCUUCAUUAAUGUGCUUCCAUUGUUGGUUAUUCAGGCUGCUGUUUAUAAAGAACCAAUCUUUUCCAUUCCUGGAACUCCAGCAAUAGUUCAGCAUGAAAUUUUAAAUAACAGAAGGCAUGUAUUGACUAAGGUAAAUGUGGUAGUACUUAUAUUUGUUGUUCCAAAGAUUUUGUUUUUGGGAUUUUUUUUGCGUAUAUGAUAUUUAUGCUUCUUGAACAGGAUACUGCUGGUUCGGUAAAGCUCUGGGAGAUAACCAGGGGUGUUGUGGUCGAGGACUAUGGACAGGUGAAUGAGAAACUAGAAUUUUUUUUCCCUCUUUUUCUGUCUUUGUUUCUUGAGUACAAGUGGAUUGCACUUUGCUUUUCCCUUCCAAGUUUUGUACACAUAGACACUUGUAUAUAUUUAUCCAUUCAUUAAAUUUCAAUGGCCAGGUUUCAUUUGACGAGAAAAAGCAGGAGUUGUUUGAGAUGGUAUGCUACCUACUUAUUUAAAUUUAUAUCAGUUAAACACAAUGCAUCAUUUUGUAAGGAAUUUGCUUUUUUUAUUUUUAAAACCACUAGGUAAGCAUUCCAGCAUGGUUCACUGUGGAUACCCGGCUUGGAAGCUUGUCUGUUCAUUUGGACACACCCCAAUGCUUUUCUGCGGAGAUGUAUUCUGUUGAUCUAAACAUAACUGGGAAGCCUGAGGAUGAUAAGGUUUUAGACUUAUUUUAUUGAUUUUGACAAUCUUAAGACAUGCAUAUCUACAGGAAGUGGUUGAGGAACUCUGUGAUUAUAAUGUGCAUCUGGUGUUAACUUGUCUUUGGCAGGUUAAUCUAGCUCGUGAAACCCUUAAAGGUCUGUUGGCUCAUUGGAUGACCAAAAGAAGGCAAAGACUUGGCUCCCAGGCUUCCGCUAAUGGAGAUGUUUUAUCAGGAAAGGAUAAUACUGCAAGAAGUCUUGCUCAUUCAAGAAUUGAGGUAGAUGGAAAUGCUGAAAAUGACUCCAUGGUCCAUCCUCCUUUUGAGUUUUCUAUGGUUUCCCCUCCAUCAAUUAUCUCCGAGGGUUCCCAAGGAGGUCCUUGGAGAAAGAAAAUUACUGAAUUGGAUGGAACUGAGGAUGAGAAAGACUUCCCUUGGUGGGUUUUGGAUUGUGUUUUAAACAAUCGGCUACCACCACGAGAAAACACCAAGUAACUUCCGCGGCUCAUUAAACUUUCCCUUAAUAUAAUCUUUAAGUAACUAGUUUUCAACGAACUGCAUACAUUGAACUGUUUAUCAGUUGACCUUGUUGAUAUACUUGUUACACAUGGAUGAACUUAAGAAGUGUCAUUAAAUUCAUGGUUAACUAUGCUUUUUGUUUUCUUGUGCCUUUAGUUCUUACUCUCUGAUAUUUUUCUUGUGAAACGUCUGCACUUCUCUUCUUUUGUUUUUUUUUUUGGGGGGGGGGGGAAGAGUACCUUCUUUUGCAUUUUUGCACACUACUGCUACAUUCAGAACCAUGGAUAAUCAUGUAGUUUACUUGAGUCUUCUCUCUCUCUCUCUCUCUCUUGAUGAAGUUUUACUUUUCAUUUAUUUCAGGUGCAGCUUCUACCUUCAUCCAUGCGAAGGUACAGCUGUUCAGAUCCUCACACAAGGGAAGUUAAGUGCUCCUCGUAUAUUGAGAAUAAAUAAGGUAUGCCUGUUUGGUUUUUCCGUAGGACUUUCAAAAUCUUUUUUUUUUUUUUGGCAUGGCAUGCGAUUGUACAAAGUUGCAAAUGUUGAUUCUAUGCUAAUUUAGAUCACUUGGGUUAAUACAUUAGAAUCUAUUUCAUGCUUUGGAGCAUGGACAGCAAAAGGGCCAAAGGAGUAAUGUUCAGUUAAUGAAAAUGCUAUUUUAGCAUACAUAUAUUUUGAUAGGACCUUUUAACUUUGUUCUAGCCAACACAAUAUAUGAACGAAUUAGAAUAAUCUUCUGUAUUAGCUGUUGUUGAGUGCUUGUUUGCUCGUAUGUAAGAGCAAGAUGCCUUUGUGGCCUUUUAGAUUUUAUUUUCUUCUCUUUUUAAAUUUUGGAUACGGAAUGCUGAUAGGUGUCAUAUUGGAAAAACAUAUGUAUAUCAAUGUAUAUUAAUGCAGAACAGUUUGUCCUACACUGUAUUUGUACAUCAGUAUUUUAUUUAAUUUUCUGGUAUAAUAAUGUACUUUCACUCCGUUAUGGUUUAUAUAGGUUGUUAAUUAUGUCGUAGAAAAGAUGGUGCUUGACAAACCAAUUGAUACUGGAAAUACCGAUGGGUCACUUGCUCCUGGACAUGGAGGACAAUUGCAGCAUUCAGCUGUCGUGGAUGGUUCUUUUAAAUCUGGAUUGAAGCCUUGGCCGAAGCCUAGGCCUUCUGUUGAGAUUUUAUGCAAUAAUCAGGCAAGUAAACCAUAUAUUAGAUGUCAUAAUGCCUUUGGCUAAGAGCCUUGACCCAUUUCUCAAAGCUGUGUGUUUUUUUUCCCAUCAUUUUCUGGUACCAUUAAUAAAUCGUACUAUGCAGUGUUUGAAAUCAACAAACUAAAAUUAUUCAUAUGAACUUUUUAGUUCAAGUUCGAUCAUGCUAUACUGAUCACGUGUUUGAUUUGCUACUAUAUGUUCCAGGUCUUAUCUACAGACAUGAGCUUAGCCACUGUGCGGGCCUACAUAUGGAAGAAACCUGAGGAUUUGGUACUUAAUUAUAGAGUGGCUCAAGGCAGGUGAUUUUAUCAACUUCUGGGAGCAGGUGAGUGGGUUACAUGUGUUGCUUUUAACUAGGGUUGAGAAAAUUUUGGUCAGAACUACUUAGCCAAUGUCCCGACCAAAACUGUUGUUAGUAUCAGUUUUAGUAUUAAACCGACCAACUUGAUCAAACUAUUAUAAAUUAUUAUAUUUAUAUAUUUUAAAAUAUUUUAUUAUACAAUAAAUAUUUUUAAUAUAUUGAUAUUCUUACCCUGACCCUAUUAAACCCACCCAAUCCAUUACCCAAUAAACUCGUUACCAAAUUUCCAAAAUAACUGAGCAAACUAAGUUGAUCUGGUUAUUGCCGGUUAUCAAUAUAAAGUUUGGUUGGUUUCAGUUCAAAAGUCUAUGGAGUUCGGUUUAUUAACAUGGAACUACUGUUGGCUUUGUUUGAUAGGUGAAUAAGACAUCAUAUAGUUUCUCUUUUAGUCUGCACAUUGGAUAUCUGUAUGAAGCAAUCAACUUAAAAGAACUGUAUCCUCUCUUAUCUAUCAGGCUGCAGUGUCUGUUUCGGGAAAUCGAGAUGGAAAUCUCAUACUGUUGUAAAGUGUUGGGAAUUGUAUUUGUUCGUCAGAGGUUUGCCUAUAUCAGAAGCAAAUGUUGGAUCCCUUAUAUAUUUGGAAAGACAAUUGGUUUUCAAUGUGGGGGCGUUCUCCGGACUUCAACAAGAUGAUCGUUGUUAAAGUCGAGCAGAUGGUAUCAUAAAGUUUUGGUCUUUGUGUAGUGCAUGCUUUCGCCAUACAUCCGAGAAAAAGUUGUAGGGUGGAAUGCAAGCGGUAGAACGGUUUGUAAACUCCGGGGGACAAUUAGCUGAAAGUAAAAUUGGGGGAAAAAAAGAUUAGGCCAUAUGAUGUCGACGAAAGGUCAUGUAGAUUUGUAUUUUGAGGGUGAUACAAUAUCUAGUCAUAGAAACUGUUGUUACGAAAUUGGUCUUUUUUUUAAUUAUUUGUCCUGGAAAUAAAAAAGGACUGUUAAUUUGUGUUUUUUUUCCUUGUGCAUUUGAAAUUUAAUUUUUUAUUUUUAGGAAUUUAGUUUCAUUGUUUGGAUUUAAAAAAAUUAUUCAGUUUUAUAGCAAAGAUUAAGAGCCAAAAUUGAAACUUGAUCAUUGUUUAUAAUGUAAAAUGAAAGUAAUGCAAAUUUGACAGAAUUGGGAAGUUUCGUGUUAGUCUCUAAAACUCUAAAGAUAUUUAAAUUAUAUAUAAUCACGUGAUAUUUUAAUAAAAAUUUAAUAAUACUAACUAUUUAGAUUUAUCAAUAAUAUUAUAAAAAUAUAUGGAUCGAAUUACAUCAGAAAUUAAAGAGAUUACAAAUUUAGAUAUAAUAGAAAGACCAAAAUUAAAAUUUAUCCUCUAAUAUCUAGUGUAAAAGAGAGAGAACAAUAGCAAUAUAGUAUAGGUAUGUGUUAAUUUGGGCCUCCCUUUUAUAUAUAGUUCAUAGAUUCAUGUGUUAAUUUGGGCCUCCCUUUUAUAUAUAGUUCAUAGAUUCAUGAAUGGAUGAAUCGGUUCAAUUCAAAAUUGAUAGUUUUCAAUAAAAUUAAUAAAAUUUAAGUUAAAUUAAAAAAAUAGUUAUUUUUAUAAAAUAAAAAUAAAAGUAACAAGAUUUGCCAGUAAUAAUUGACAAACUAUGUAUUUUUUUGUUAACUAAUUUGGAGGUCCCUUCCAUCCCAUCUUAAUGAAAUCUUCCCCAUUUGAUGUAGUAAACAUCAUUGUAGGGAGGUCAAUAUCAAGUUCCUCCAUCUCUAUAGAAACUUCUUUCAUUUCCAAGAAGGCUUCAAGAGAUGCCUUUCCAUACUAGUAGUAGCUUUUAACAUCAUCACAGUGUAAACAAGAUGUAAUACAUCAUCACUGUGUAAACAAGAUGUAAUCUCCAUCACCAAAUAUUGCUUCAACACAACUGUAUUUAAUAUCUAACUUAUAUUCUUAACUAAACUAACUCCAUAAAUUCGACACCCGAAAUAAAUAUUGGUUUUGUAUUAUUUUUUUAUUUAUUUACUUUAAUGGUUGAGUGAAGAAGGAAUCUAAAGAUGUGAAAGGGAAUGUUAUAGCAAUAGCAUAUAAAAGCAAGCUUUGUGAUUAUCUUGGGGAGCAACAAAUGAAGAAUACCCAAACUGGCAAAUUAUAUUUUAUUCCUGUUAGUUAUGGGACACAGACAGCUACAAACAACGCAAUGUCUUAGCACCAUUGCCGACCAUAAACUUUAUUAAUUGCCAUAACAAAAACAUUACUAAUGGUAAAUUUUCUCUUAGCUUAAAGUAUUAAAAUAUGCCACAAAUUUUAUGUUUUUGUUUUUAGGAAUUUAGUUCAUUUAUUUUUUAAGAUUUUAAAAUUAAGGUUUAAUUGUUAAAACGGUUAAUUUUUUUUAUUAAUUUUAUUAAAGUGACAUUUAAAAAAAAUCAUUAAUAGCCAUGUAAUUCAAAAAAUAAUAUUGUAAUGAACUUGACUUUAAUAAAAUAAUUUUAACAGUAUUAAUAAUUGAACCUAAAUUUUGAAAUAUGAAAAGUAAAAUGAUUAAUUUUUUAAAAAUAAACUUAUAAAAUGUAUAUAAACUAAUUAUCUAUUUUAUCUUUUUAUAAUUUUGAAAAUUCAUUAAGUUCAAAGCUAAGUGAACGGACCCUAGUCAAUUUGGGUCAAUAGCAUUCAAAUCUUUAUUGAGUCAAAUAUUGUGUAUUUUAUCUUUUGAAAAAAAAAAGGUUACAACUAUAAUCUAAUAAACAAUCAUCACUAAGUUGAUCUUGAAUGAUUUUCUUUUCAAUACCUGUACUCACCAAACCAUCUAUGAUACCUUUAAAAUAUGUGUUUAGGAUGUGAUUUUAAAAAAAAAAUAUUCAUUUUUUAAGAUUUACUCAUAGUAAAUUUAGAUAAUAAAAUUAGAUUGUUUUUUAUAUUAUGUAUAUCCGUUUUAUGAUUUAUGUUCGAGGUUUAUAGUUGUCUUCCUUUAAGAAUAUUGUCUCCAAGGUUCAAACCAACAUUCUCUCCUUACAAAUUUAAUGUACCUUACCAUUGCACCUAUGAGAUAAUUAAAUUUUGAUUAAACUAAAACUAUUUAAUUUUUGUUUGGUAAGAGAUUUAUCAAGUUAAAGUGAUUCUUUUCUUCUUAUUCCCAUAAGAUAAGGACACCAUAUUCUGCAUUGUGAAGGUCAAUUUCAUUUCAGAAUAGCAUAAAACUUUCAUAUUUUCAGACACAUAAUGGAAGUCAUUGUCCCAAAAAUUGAAAAGAAUAUGAUUCUUUACACAGUUUUUUCUUAAAGAAAAAAGCUUGGGAUUCUUAUUGUUUUUAGCAUAAGAUCCUAACAUUGAUGAUGUUAUUUAAUCUUUCGUCAUUAAAUUUAAGAUUAAAAAUAACACCAAAUUUUCCUAUACAAAGAGAGCUUCAAACACCAGUUGGUAAUUAAGGAACAAGUGCAAAGAGUUUCCUCAGAACAAUGGCUGGCUAUGGUUAUGCAUACAGAGGUGGCUACACGACCUACGACGGCGGCGUUGCUCCACGAGGUGGCACCGAUGGGUGGAACAAAACAAGCUAUAGCUCAGAUCAUACGUGUCAGCCUGUGUUCAUUGAUGCAGAAGGGAGGCGGAAGCCGAUCACGUCUUACACUGGUCCGCACGGUAGCACCGAGUAUUACGUUACAAAAACCGAGAUAGUCGAGGUUCCAUAUAUGGCCGAAUACAAGCAAAGGGCUCCUGUAAGAGUUGAGGUGGUGAGGGACUAUGGUGAGGGUAAGCUGAUUACUAGGCCCUUAAGUCCCGGGAAACGGCGGGAGAGUUCAAGUCCUGUUCGGUAUCAUACUGAAGAGAAAUGGAAUAAGCCUUCUAGCCCCGUUCAGUAUGACGUCAAAGAGAAAUGGAAUAAGCCAUCGAGUCCUGUUCGGUAUCGUGUUGAAGAGAAAUGGAAUAAGCCUUCUAGCCCCGUUCAGUAUGACGUCGAAGAGAAAUGGAAUAAGCCAUCGAGUCCUGUUCGGUAUCGUGUCGAAGAGAAAUGGAAUAGGCCCUCUAGUCCUGUUCGGUACCAUGCCGAAGAGAAAUGGACGAACCGGCCUUCAAGUCCGGUUAAGGAACAUCCUCAACAAGUUAUGGAUUUUAUUAGCAAAGUUCAAACUCAAGCCAGC